CGGAAGUGGUACUAGGAGCGAGGAAGGACAUGCACGCGAGAACGAGCUGAAAACGAAGAAUCAGGGCUGCCAUGACAGACAGUAGCGCGCCCGCGCUACUUGUUAGCGCGCCCGCGCUACCUACUGCUGCCACUAGCGCGCCUGCGCUAGUUUAGCGCGGCCGCGCCCAGCAGAAGUCCCCCGGGCCGAUUUUUGAAGCUUUCUGAUGGAUUUUCGCAGCGGUCGAGGCCCGGUUGACUUGGUCAAUGUAUUUUAAAUUCUCGUGUGUAAAACCCUAGCCUCCAAGUAGUUUUAGCAGAGAACAAUAUCAUAGUUUAAUUUUUAUCGAAGCACAUUAUCAGUUUGUAUUGGAUCGUUCUUCGCGAGGAAGUGACAGUUUCGAGCGAGUUCGUGAACAUCAAUUCUGUAACGUUGUGAUCUUUAUUAUUAAUUCAAGCAUUUUUAUUCCAUUUAA
RNAcentral lists this long non-coding RNA (454 nucleotides) under Daucus carota (carrot). RNAcentral's name for it is "long non-coding RNA (DCAR_LNC002173)". Lineage: Eukaryota; Viridiplantae; Streptophyta; Magnoliopsida; Apiales; Apiaceae. The record is from RNAcentral.